This 381-nucleotide ribosomal RNA is filed under the name uncultured Rhodocyclaceae bacterium. RNAcentral describes it as "bacterial SSU rRNA". It matches the Rfam family "Bacterial small subunit ribosomal RNA", at positions 537 to 916 of the family's 1533-position model. The record is from RNAcentral. Lineage: Bacteria; Pseudomonadati; Pseudomonadota; Betaproteobacteria; Rhodocyclales; Rhodocyclaceae.
AGCGUUAAUCCAAAUUACUGGCCGUAAAUCUUGCGCAAGCGGUUUCCUAAGACAGACGUGAAAUCCCCGGGCUCAACCUGGCAACUGCGUUUGUGACUGGUGCGCUUUAUUACGGUAGAGGGGGGUGGAAUUCCACGUGUAGCAGUGAAAUGCGUAGAGAUGUGGAGGAACACCCAUGGCGAAGGCAUCCCCCUGGACCGAUACUGACGCUCAUGCACGAAAGCGUGGGUAGCAAACAUGAUUAGAUACCCUGGUAGUCAACGCCCUAAACGAUGUCAACUAGGUGUUGGGUGGGUAAAACCAUUUAAUACCGUAGCUAACGCGUGAAUUUGACCGCCUGGGGAGUACGGCCGCGAGGUUAAAACUCAAAGGAUUUGACGG